UACGUAGGGGGCAAGCGUUGUCCGGAUUUAUUGGGCGUAAAGAGCUCGUAGGCGGUUGGGCAAGUCACGUGUGAAAUCUCCACGCUCAACGUGGAGGCGCCACGUGAGACUGCCCUGACUCGAGUCCGGUAGGGGAGCGUGGAAUUCCCGGUGUAGCGGUGAAAUGCGCAGAGAUCGGGAGGAACACCCGUAGCGAAGGCGGCGCUCUGGGCCGGUACUGACGCUGGAGGAGCGAAAGCGUGGGGAGCAAACAGG
RNAcentral lists this ribosomal RNA (255 nucleotides) under uncultured bacterium. RNAcentral's name for it is "partial 16S ribosomal RNA". It matches the Rfam family "Bacterial small subunit ribosomal RNA", at positions 524 to 776 of the family's 1533-position model. The record is from RNAcentral.